This 301-nucleotide ribosomal RNA is filed under the name uncultured bacterium. Its description in RNAcentral is "partial 16S ribosomal RNA". It matches the Rfam family "Bacterial small subunit ribosomal RNA", at positions 509 to 808 of the family's 1533-position model. The record is from RNAcentral.
CAGUAGCCGCGGGAAUACGAAGGGGGCUAGCGUUGUUCGGAUUUACUGGGCGUAAAGGCGCGUAGGCGGGCGAUUAAGUCAGGGGUGAAAUCCCAAGGCUCAACCUUGGAACUGCCUUUGAUACUGAUUGUCUUGAGUUCGAGAGAGGUAAGUGGAUCUGCGAGUGUAGAGGCGAAAUUCGUAGAUAUUCGCAAGAACACCAGUGGCGAAGGCGGCUUACUGGCUCGAUACUGACGCUGAGGCGCGAAAGCGUGGGGAGCAAACAGGAUUAGAGACCCCUGUAGUCCCUGUCUCUUAUACA